ACGCUGGCGGCGUGCCUAAUACAUGCAAGUCGUGCGGACCUUUAAAGCUUGCUUUAAAAGGUUAGCGGCGGACGGGUGAGUAACACGUGGGCAACCUGCCUGUAAGAUCGGGAUAACGCCGGGAAACCGGGGCUAAUACCGGAUAGUUUUUUCCUCCGCAUGGAGGAAAAAGGAAAGACGGCUUUUGCUGUCACUUACAGAUGGGCCCGCGGCGCAUUAGCCAGUUGGUGGGGUAACGGCUCACCGAGGCAACGAUGCGUAGCCGACCUGAGAGGGUGAUCGGCCACAUUGGGACUGAGACACGGCCCAAACUCCUACGGGAGGCAGCAGUAGGGAAUCUUCCGCAAUGGACGAAAGUCUGACGGAGCAACGCCGCGUGAGUGAAGAAGGCCUUCGGGUCGUAAAACUCUGUUGCCGGGGAAGAACAAGUGCCGUUCGAACAGGGCGGCGCCUUGACGGUACCCGGCCAGAAAGCCACGGCUAACUACGUGCCAGCAGCAGC
Molecule: ribosomal RNA, 502 nt
Filed under: uncultured bacterium
Lineage: Bacteria
Description: bacterial SSU rRNA
Rfam family: Bacterial small subunit ribosomal RNA
Source: RNAcentral